RNAcentral lists this ribosomal RNA (633 nucleotides) under Klebsiella pneumoniae. Its description in RNAcentral is "partial 23S ribosomal RNA". It matches the Rfam family "Bacterial large subunit ribosomal RNA", at positions 2212 to 2839 of the family's 2925-position model. The record is from RNAcentral. Lineage: Bacteria; Pseudomonadati; Pseudomonadota; Gammaproteobacteria; Enterobacterales; Enterobacteriaceae.
GUUUGAUGUUCUAACGUUGGCCCCUGACCGGGGUUGCGGACAGUGUCUGGUGGGUAGUUUGACUGGGGCGGUCUCCUCCCAAAGCGUAACGGAGGAGCACGAAGGUUAGCUAAUCCUGGUCGGACAUCAGGAGGUUAGUGCAAUGGCAUAAGCUAGCUUGACUGCGAGCGUGACGGCGCGAGCAGGUGCGAAAGCAGGUCAUAGUGAUCCGGUGGUUCUGAAUGGAAGGGCCAUCGCUCAACGGAUAAAAGGUACUCCGGGGAUAACAGGCUGAUACCGCCCAAGAGUUCAUAUCGACGGCGGUGUUUGGCACCUCGAUGUCGGCUCAUCACAUCCUGGGGCUGAAGUAGGUCCCAAGGGUAUGGCUGUUCGCCAUUUAAAGUGGUACGCGAGCUGGGUUUAGAACGUCGUGAGACAGUUCGGUCCCUAUCUGCCGUGGGCGCUGGAGAAUUGAGGGGGGCUGCUCCUAGUACGAGAGGACCGGAGUGGACGCAUCACUGGUGUUCGGGUUGUCAUGCCAAUGGCACUGCCCGGUAGCUAAAUGCGGAAGAGAUAAGUGCUGAAAGCAUCUAAGCACGAAACUUGCCCCGAGAUGAGUUCUCCCUGAGACUUUAAGUCUCCUGAAGGAACGUU